Molecule: ribosomal RNA, 497 nt
Filed under: uncultured bacterium
Lineage: Bacteria
Description: partial 16S ribosomal RNA
Rfam family: Bacterial small subunit ribosomal RNA
Source: RNAcentral
GAUGAACGCUGGCGGCGUGCCUAAUACAUGCAAGUCGAGCGAACGGACGAGAAGCUUGCUUUUCUGAUGUUAGCGGCGGACGGGUGAGUAACACGUGGAUAACCUACCUAUAAGACUGGGAUAACUUCGGGAAACCGGAGCUAAUAUCGGAUAAUAUUUUGAACCGCAUGGUUCAAAAGUGAAAGACGGUCUUGCUGUCACUUAUAGAUGGAUCCGCGCUGCAUUAGCUAGUUGGUAAGGUAACGGCUUACCAAGGCAACGAUGCAUAGCCGACCUGAGAGGGUGAUCGGCCACACUGGAACUGAGACACGGUCCAGACUCCUGCGGGAGGCAGCAGUAGGGAAUCUUCCGCAAUGGGCGAAAGCCUGACGGAGCAACGCCGCGUGAGUGAUGAAGGUCUUCGGAUCGUAAAACUCUGUUAUUAGGGAAGAACAUAUGUGUAAGUAACUGUGCACAUCUUGACGGUACCUAAUCAGAAAGCCACGGCUAACUACGUG